AUGGUGAGCGCCUUGGCAGGGGUGAUGACCUCUGUCAUCGGCAAGCUCACCACUCUGCUUGGGGAGGAGUACUCAAAGCUGAAAGGUGUGCACAGGGAGGUGGAAUUCAUGAAAGAUGAGCUGAGCAGCAUGAACGCACUCCUUCAGAGGCUGGCAGAGGUGGACCGUGAUCUUGAUGUGCAGACAAAGGAAUGGAGGGACCAAGUUCGGGAGAUGUCUUAUGACAUCGAGGAUUGCAUAGACGACUUUAUGAAAAGCCUUGGCCAAACUGACAUUGCUAAGAGAGCAGGGCUUGUCCAAAGUGUGAUCCAGCAGCUCAAGGCGCUGAGGAUGCGCCAUCAAAUAUCCAGCCAAAUCCAGGGGCUCAAGGCACGUGUUGAAGAUGCAAGCAAGCGACGUAUGAGGUAUAAGCUCGAUGAGCGCACCUUUGAGUGUGGCAUCUCAAGGGCCAUUGACCCUCGUCUUCCUUCGCUCUAUGCUGAGCCAGACGGGCUUGUCGGUAUUGACAAGCCAAGAGACGAGCUCAUCAAGUGCCUAAUGGGGGGGGUGGGUGCAUCGGUGCAGCAGCAAAAGGUGAUAUCUAUUGUGGGUCCUGGGGGCCUCGGUAAAACUACACUUGCGAAUGAGGUGUACCGUAAACUGGAAGGCCAGUUCCAGUGUCGAGCUUUUGUUUCUUUGUCGCAGCAGCCUGAUGUGAAGAAGAUCCUAAGAAGUAUACUCUCUCAAGUCAGCCAGCAGGAGUACGCUAACAUAGAUGUUUGGGAUGAGGAAAAGCUCAUCAAUGCAAUCCGAGAAUUUCUAAAGAACAAAAGGUAUUUCGUCAUCAUUGAUGAUAUUUGGAGUAAUCAAGCAUGGAAGAUUAUCAAGUGUGCUUUGUUUCCAAAUGAUGUUGGGAGCAAAAUAAUGACAACAACUUGCAGUAUUACUAUAGCCAAAUUAUGUUGCUCUCCUCAGCAUGAUCAUGUCUAUGAAAUAAUGCCUCUUACUGAAGCCAACUCUAAGAGUUUAUUUUUGAAACGUAUAUUUGGCUCGGGAGAUAUGUGCCCUCCUAAGUUGGAAGAAGUCUCCUCGGAGAUAUUGAAGAAAUGUGGUGGUUCACCCUUGGCGAUUAUUACAGUGGCUAGCUUGCUGGCUAAUAAAGCUAGUACAAAUGAAGAAUGGGAGAGGGUAUAUAACUCAAUCGGUUCGACACUGGAAAAAGAUCCCGGUGUAGAAGAAAUGAGAAAAACAUUAUCCCUCGGAGGACUGAGUAUAUUUCCAGAAGACUGA
This 1269-nucleotide ribosomal RNA is filed under the name Triticum aestivum (bread wheat). RNAcentral describes it as "partial small subunit ribosomal RNA". The record is from RNAcentral. Lineage: Eukaryota; Viridiplantae; Streptophyta; Magnoliopsida; Poales; Poaceae.